RNAcentral lists this ribosomal RNA (434 nucleotides) under uncultured Lachnospiraceae bacterium. RNAcentral's name for it is "bacterial SSU rRNA". It matches the Rfam family "Bacterial small subunit ribosomal RNA", at positions 341 to 792 of the family's 1533-position model. Lineage: Bacteria; Bacillati; Bacillota; Clostridia; Lachnospirales; Lachnospiraceae. The record is from RNAcentral.
ACGGAAGGCAGCAGUGGGGAAUAUUGCACAAUGGGCGAAAGCCUGAUGCAGCGACGCCGCGUGAGUGAAGAAGUAUCUCGGUAUGUAAAGCUCUAUCAGCAGGGAAGAAAAUGACGGUACCUGACUAAGAAGCCCCGGCUAACUACGUGCCAGCAGCCGCGGUAAUACGUAGGGGGCAAGCGUUAUCCGGAUUUACUGGGUGUAAAGGGAGCGUAGACGGUUUGGCAAGUCUGAAGUGAAAUGCGGGGGCUCAACUCCUGAACUGCUUUGGAAACUGUCGAACUAGAGUGCAGUAGAGGUAAGUGGAAUUCCUAGUGUAGCGGUGAAAUGCGUAGAUAUUAGGAGGAACACCAGUGGCGAAGGCGGCUUACUGGACUGUAACUGACGUUGAGGCUCGAAAGCGUGGGGAGCAAACAGGAUUAGAUACCCUGGUA